UUCUUAUUUGAAUAAAGGUGUAGAGGUUUUGACCCAAUUAUUGGUGGAAAAGCAUCUUCUACUUUUCAUACUCCCUCUGAUAUUAGUUGUUUGGGUUAUUGAGAAACGGGUUUUCUCUUUCUCCAAUUGGGUUCCUCUUGUGGUCACUGUCUGGGCAACUAUCCAGUAUAGUAGUUAUCAACGACAAAUCCAUGUAGAGGAUUUGAAUAGAAAAUGGAAGCAAGUCAUACUACGUCGCCAGAAACACCAUUGGAGCACUGUGAGUGGCUGAACAAGUUAUUAAUGGAAAUUUGGCCAAACUACAUUCACCCAAAGCUUUCCACAAGGUUCUCAUCUAUU
Camellia sinensis is the source of this 339-nucleotide non-coding RNA. The record is from RefSeq and is a predicted model, not a curated record. Lineage: Eukaryota; Viridiplantae; Streptophyta; Magnoliopsida; Ericales; Theaceae.